GCCUGUUUCUCGUUUCAUUUUUGUCAAAAUUUGGACUAGUUCAGUUACCGAAUACGAAGCGAAAAUUUGAUAUAAGUUUUUUUCUGAUUAUUUGAUGCAGUAGUCUUACAUGUGGUGUUCAGGAGGGAAAUGAGAGAGAUCUAGUCUAAUUGCAUUGUGCUCGGCUAUGUAAAUAUGCAUGUCAAUUAUUCUAAAGUUGACCCUAAAUCUGAUAUCUUUCUCGUAGCGCUUCCUGGAACUCAGCAAUAAGUUGUAAUGUCACCAUACGCAGUAUACUUUUACUUCUACUUCUACUGAUUCACUAAUAAAGAGAAGC
Paramuricea clavata is the source of this 316-nucleotide non-coding RNA. The record is from the annotation of a GenBank genome assembly. Lineage: Eukaryota; Metazoa; Cnidaria; Anthozoa; Malacalcyonacea; Plexauridae.